This 460-nucleotide ribosomal RNA is filed under the name uncultured bacterium. Its description in RNAcentral is "partial 16S ribosomal RNA". It matches the Rfam family "Bacterial small subunit ribosomal RNA", at positions 338 to 795 of the family's 1533-position model. The record is from RNAcentral.
CCUACGGGAGGCAGCAGUGAGGAAUAUUGGUCAAUGGACGAGAGUCUGAACCAGCCAAGUAGCGUGAAGGAUGACUGCCCUAUGGGUUGUAAACUUCUUUUAUAUGGGAAUAAAAUGUUCCACGUGUGGGAUUUUGUAUGUACCAUAUGAAUAAGGAUCGACUAACUCCGUGCCAGCAGCCGCGGUAAUACGGAGGAUCCGAGCGUUAUCCGGAUUUAUUGGGUUUAAAGGGAGCGUAGGUGGAUUGUUAAGUCAGGUGUGAAAGUUUGCGGCUCAACCGUAAAAUUGCAGUUGAAACUGGCAGUCUUGAGUACAGGAGAGGUGGGCGGAAUUCGUGGUGUAGCGGUGAAAUGCUUAGAUAUCACGAAGAACUCCGAUUGCGAAGGCAGUUCACUGGACUGCAACUGACACUGAGGCUCGAAAGUGUGGGUAUCAAACAGGAUUAGAUACCCUGGUAGUC